AACACUGUUAACCUGCGGUACCUGCGGAGGGAUCAUUAUCGAAUAAACUAGGUGGGUUGUUGCUGUCCCUCUCGGGGGAAUUGUGCACGCCUUACCUUUUUUGUUUUUCCACCUGUGCACACACUGUAGGUCUGGAGGGAAAGGGAGGCAACUCCCUAACGUUUCAGGUCCUAUGUUUUUUACACAUACACUAUGAAAAGUAACAGAACGACUCAAUGGGCUUUGAGCCUAUAAACUAAA
Molecule: unclassified non-coding RNA, 240 nt
Filed under: soil metagenome
Description: partial contains 5.8S ribosomal RNA, internal transcribed spacer 2, and large subunit ribosomal RNA
Source: RNAcentral